RNAcentral lists this ribosomal RNA (384 nucleotides) under uncultured bacterium. Its description in RNAcentral is "partial 16S ribosomal RNA". It matches the Rfam family "Bacterial small subunit ribosomal RNA", at positions 338 to 739 of the family's 1533-position model. The record is from RNAcentral.
CCUACGGGUGGCAGCAGUGGGGGAUAUUGCACAAUGGGGGAAACCCUGAUGCAGCGACGCCGCGUGGGUGAAGGAGCGUUUCGGCGCGUAAAGCCCUAUCAGCAGGGAAGAAGAUGACGGUACCUGACCAUGAAGCCCCGGCUAACUACGUGCCAGCAGCCGCGGUAAUACGUAGGGGGCAAGCGUUAUCCGGAUUUACUGGGUGUAAAGGGGGCGCAGACGGCAAUGCAAGCCAGGAGUGAAAGCCCGGGGCCCAACCCCGGGACUGCUCUUGGAACUGCAGGGCUGGAGUACAGGAGGGGCAGGCGGAAUUCCUGGUGUAGCGGUGAAAGGGGUAGAUAUGAGGGGGAACACAGGUGGCGAAGGCGGCCUGUGGGCUUGUGA